AAGUCGUAACAAGGUCUCCGUAGGUGAACCUGCGGAGGGAUCAUUAACACGUAUCCAAACGUAUUCCAAACCCAAACCGGUCUCGAUCCAAAUCCCCAUGUGAGGAAAGGUGUGGCGAGUAGGGCCUUUUAGGUGAAUUCUCUUUUUUAUUAAAGAGUCUGCCCUACCGCCGUGGCGGUCGACGUAUGAGCUUCAACCAAGCCUUGUCACAGUGGGUGUAGUAACUCUUUGUCACCUGGCUAUUAGGGCAACCCUGCACUUAUAGUGUCAUUCUAUGACAUUAUAUUUGACCAGGAUCCUUUUAGCCUUAUUAAACCAUAUUUUAACUCUUUUAUUUUAUAACACUGAUUUUACUUAUAUGUGGUCGAAAGGCUCAUAUAAUAUUUACGAAAUAUAUGUACAACUCUUAGCAACGGAUAUCUUGGCUCUC
Molecule: unclassified non-coding RNA, 430 nt
Filed under: fungal sp.
Lineage: Eukaryota; Fungi
Description: partial internal transcribed spacer region
Rfam family: Eukaryotic small subunit ribosomal RNA (bases 1-46)
Source: RNAcentral